Molecule: ribosomal RNA, 395 nt
Filed under: uncultured bacterium
Lineage: Bacteria
Description: bacterial SSU rRNA
Rfam family: Bacterial small subunit ribosomal RNA
Source: RNAcentral
GAUGAACGCUGGCGGCAGGCUUAACACAUGCAAGUCGAGCGGGCGUAGCAAUACGUCAGCGGCAGACGGGUGAGUAACGCGUGGGAACAUACCUUUUGGUUCGGAACAACACAGGGAAACUUGUGCUAAUACCGGAUAAGCCCUUACGGGGAAAGAUUUAUCGCCGAAAGAUUGGCCCGCGUCUGAUUAGCUAGUUGGUGAGGUAAUGGCUCACCAAGGCGACGAUCAGUAGCNGGUCUGAGAGGAUGAUCAGCCACAUUGGGACUGAGACACGGCCCAAACUCCUACGGGAGGCAGCAGUGGGGAAUAUUGGACAAUGGGCGCAAGCCUGAUCCAGCCAUGCCGCGUGAGUGAUGAAGGCCCUAGGGUUGUAAAGCUCUUUUGUGCGGGAAGAU